CGCCAGACUCCUACGGGAGGCAGCAGUGGGGAAUAUUGCACAAUGGGGGAAACCCUGAUGCAGCGACGCCGCGUGAGUGAAGAAGUAUUUCGGUAUGUAAAGCUCUAUCAGCAGGGAAGAAAAUGACGGUACCUGACCAAGAAGCCCCGGCUAACUACGUGCCAGCAGCCGCGGUAAUACGUAGGGGGCAAGCGUUAUCCGGAUUUACUGGGUGUAAAGGGAGCGUAGACGGUGAUGCAAGUCAGAAGUGAAAGCCCGGGGCUCAACUCCGGGACUGCUUUUGAAACUGUGUAACUGGAGUACGGGAGGGGCAGGCGGAAUUCCUGGUGUAGCGGUGAAAUGCGUAGAUAUCAGGAGGAACACCGGCGGCGAAGGCGGCCUGCUGGACCGUGACUGACGUUGAGGCUCGAGAGCGUGGGGAGCAAACAGGAUUAGAUACCCUCGUACG
RNAcentral lists this ribosomal RNA (448 nucleotides) under uncultured bacterium. RNAcentral describes it as "bacterial SSU rRNA". It matches the Rfam family "Bacterial small subunit ribosomal RNA", at positions 329 to 793 of the family's 1533-position model. The record is from RNAcentral.